GAUGAACGCUAGCGGGAGGCUUAAUACAUGCAAGUCGAACGGUAAUCUGACCACUCUUGAGUGUUCAGAACGAGUGGCGCACGGGUGAGUAACGCGUACACGACCUACCUAUAAGAGGGGGAUAGGCCUGGGAAACUAGGAUUAAUACCCCAUAAUAUCUUGGAAAUGAUUUUGAGAUUAAAGCUACGGUGCUUAUAGAUGGGUGUGCGUUCCAUUAGCUAGUUGGUAAGGUAAUGGCUUACCAAGGCGACGAUGGAUAGGGGGCGUGAGAGCGUGAUCCCCCACACGGGUACUGAGACACGGACCCGACUCCUACGGGAGGCAGCAGUAAGGAAUAUUGGACAAUGGGCGCAAGCCUGAUCCAGCUAUCCCGCGUGCAGGAAGAAUGCCCUAUGGGUUGUAAACUGCUUUUACCAGGGAAGAACAGUAGUCAUUUAUGAUUAUUUGACGGUACCUGGAGAAUAAGCACCGGCUAACUCCG
RNAcentral lists this ribosomal RNA (481 nucleotides) under uncultured Saprospiraceae bacterium. RNAcentral describes it as "bacterial SSU rRNA". It matches the Rfam family "Bacterial small subunit ribosomal RNA", at positions 28 to 505 of the family's 1533-position model. Lineage: Bacteria; Pseudomonadati; Bacteroidota; Saprospiria; Saprospirales; Saprospiraceae. The record is from RNAcentral.